GAUGAACGCUAGCUACAGGCUUAACACAUGCAAGUCGAGGGGAAACGACAUCGAAAGCUUGCUUUUGAUGGGCGUCGACCGGCGCACGGGUGAGUAACGCGUAUCCAACCUGCCCACCACUUGGGGACAACCUUGCGAAAGUAAGACUAAUACCCAAUGACGUCUCUAGAAGACAUCUGAAAGAGAUUAAAGAUUUAUCGGUGAUGGAUGGGGAUGCGUCUGAUUAGCUUGUUGGCGGGGUAACGGCCCACCAAGGCGACGAUCAGUAGGGGUUCUGAGAGGAAGGUCCCCCACAUUGGAACUGAGGCACGGUCCAAACUCCUACGGGAGGCAGCAGUGAGGAAUAUUGGUCGAUGGACGAGAGUCUGAACCAGCCAAGUAGGGUGCAGGAUAACGGCCCUAUGGGUUGUAAACUGCUUUUAUAAGGGAAUAAAGUGAGUCUCGUGAGACUUUUUGCAUGUACCUUAUGAAUAAGGACCGGCUAAUUCCGUG
This 492-nucleotide ribosomal RNA is filed under the name uncultured bacterium. Its description in RNAcentral is "partial 16S ribosomal RNA". It matches the Rfam family "Bacterial small subunit ribosomal RNA", at positions 28 to 507 of the family's 1533-position model. The record is from RNAcentral.